CCUGAGGCCUCCCCAGCCCUGUAGAACUGUGAGUCAGUUGAACCUCUUUCUUUUAUAAAUUACCCAGUCUUGGGUAUGUCCUUACAGCAGCGUGAGAACAAAAUUCAGAGAUACUAAGAAUGUUAGGUUUAAAUAGAAUCUUAUUCUUGCAUAAGCCCAGAACAUCUCCAGUUCAAUCCUUCCCGGCUCCAGAGGCUGGCUUACUGGGGGACUGUUUGAGGAAUGGGUUGGGAUGCAGAUUCCUGGGACCCAACAGAGAUGCUUGACUCAGGGAUGGAUAUUUAAUAAGCUCUUCUCCCUGGUGCCUGGAGCAUAAUUAGGCUCGGGAGCUGUGACCUGGUCCUGGGUGUGGGGUAUACCACAGACAUCCUGCACA
Molecule: long non-coding RNA, 376 nt
Filed under: Homo sapiens (human)
Lineage: Eukaryota; Metazoa; Chordata; Mammalia; Primates; Hominidae
Description: non-protein coding lnc-ARHGEF7-5:2
Source: RNAcentral